GAUGAACGCUAGCUACAGGCUUAACACAUGCAAGUCGAACGAAGAGCGACGGAAGCUUGCUUCUAUCAAUCUUAGUGGCGAACGGGUGAGUAACGCGUAAUCAACCUGCCCUUCAGAGGGGGACAACAGUUGGAAACGACUGCUAAUACCGCAUACGAUCUAACCUCGGCAUCGAGGAUAGAUGAAAGGUGGCCUCUACAUGUAAGCUAUCACUGAAGGAGGGGAUUGCGUCUGAUUAGCUAGUUGGAGGGGUAACGGCCCACCAAGGCGAUGAUCAGUAGCCGGUCUGAGAGGAUGAACGGCCACAUUGGGACUGAGACACGGCCCAG
Molecule: ribosomal RNA, 329 nt
Filed under: uncultured bacterium
Lineage: Bacteria
Description: bacterial SSU rRNA
Rfam family: Bacterial small subunit ribosomal RNA
Source: RNAcentral